RNAcentral lists this long non-coding RNA (211 nucleotides) under Chinchilla lanigera (long-tailed chinchilla). RNAcentral's name for it is "lncRNA (ENSCLAG00000028157.1)". Lineage: Eukaryota; Metazoa; Chordata; Mammalia; Rodentia; Chinchillidae. The record is from RNAcentral.
UCUUGCUGUUGGGAUCACCAAGUACAUUCAAGAGAAGACAUGACCAUCCCCAAAUGGAAAUCCAUGUAGGAGCAGAAACCAAGGCAUACCAGGAUUCAUGUCUACUUCUCAGGGAAAUUUUGGCAAGGCGACUCCAGUAGCCAGAGUAGCCAGAUGACUUCCAGCUUGGAAAACUGAGAGACAGAACUCAAGGACAAGAAUAAGAGCUGUA